RNAcentral lists this ribosomal RNA (527 nucleotides) under Bombus parthenius. RNAcentral describes it as "partial 16S ribosomal RNA". The stretch from base 375 to 527 matches the Rfam family "Bacterial large subunit ribosomal RNA", at positions 2473 to 2626 of the family's 2925-position model. The record is from RNAcentral. Lineage: Eukaryota; Metazoa; Arthropoda; Insecta; Hymenoptera; Apidae.
GGCUUAAUGAUUUUAAUUUUAAGUCAAUCUGCCCAAUGAUUAAUAAUUUAAUGGCUGCAGUAUAACUGACUGUACAAAGGUAGCAUAAUCAAUUGUUUUUUAAUUAAGAACUAGUAUGAAAGAAUUAAUGAGAUAUAUACUGUCUCAUAUAUAUUUAAUUAAUUUAAAUUUUUAGUAAAAAUGCUUAAAUAAAUUUAUGGGACGAUAAGACCCUAUAGAAUUUUAUAUUAAUUUUUAAAUUUAUAAAUUAUUUAAAGAUUGAUAUUUAAUUGGGAGGAUUAGUAAAUUAAUUAAACUUUAUUUUAAAUUUAAACUUUGAUUUAAGAAUUAAUGAUGAUCUUGUAUUAUAAAUUAUAAGAAUAAAUUACCUUAGGGAUAACAGCGUAAUAUCUUUUUAAAGAUCAUAUUAAUAAAGAUGGUUGCGACCUCGAUGUUGAAUUAAGAUAAAUUUUAAAUGAAGAGGUUUAAUAAUUAAGUCUGUUCGACUUUUAAAAUCUUACAUGAUUUGAGUUCAAAUCGACGUGAGU